This 312-nucleotide ribosomal RNA is filed under the name uncultured Arcobacter sp. Its description in RNAcentral is "bacterial SSU rRNA". It matches the Rfam family "Bacterial small subunit ribosomal RNA", at positions 29 to 334 of the family's 1533-position model. The record is from RNAcentral. Lineage: Bacteria; Pseudomonadati; Campylobacterota; Epsilonproteobacteria; Campylobacterales; Arcobacteraceae.
AGUGAACGCUGGCGGCGUGCUUAACACAUGCAAGUCGAACGAGAACGGAUUAAAGCUUGCUUUAAUUGUCAGCUAAGUGGCGCACGGGUGAGUAAUAUAUAGGUAACGUGCCUUCAAGAAGGGGAUAACGUUUGGAAACGAACGCUAAUACCCUAUAUGCCUUUAAGACUUAAGUCUGCAAGGGAAUAUUCAUAGCUUGAAGAUCGGCCUGUACAGUAUCAGUUAGUUGGUGAGGUAAUGGCUCACCAAGACAAUGACGCUUAACUGGUUUGAGAGGAUGAUCAGUCACACUGGAACUGAGACACGGUCCAG